This 397-nucleotide ribosomal RNA is filed under the name Acanthoscelides obtectus. RNAcentral describes it as "partial small subunit ribosomal RNA". Lineage: Eukaryota; Metazoa; Arthropoda; Insecta; Coleoptera; Chrysomelidae. The record is from RNAcentral.
CCUAUUAUUAAAAAUGUAAAUUUUUUUACUUAAUUAGUAUUAGUUAUGUUCUUGAAAAUUAAAAAAUUUGGCGGUAUUUUAGUCUUUUCAGAGGAACCUGUUCUAUAAUCGAUAGUCCACGAUUAGAUGCACUUUAUUUAUUAGUUUAUAUAUCGUCGUAGUUUAAAUAUUUUAAUAGAAUUAUAAAUAUUUAAAAUUUUUUAUUAAAAAAUAAAUCAGAUCAAGGUGUAGUUUAUAAUAAAGAAGAAAUGGGUUACAAUAAAUUUAUUUUAAAAUAAUUUUUGUUAAAAAAAUUUGAAUUUGGAUUUGAGAGUAAUUUUUUAGAUUUUUUUAAGAUGAUUAAAGCUCUAAAAUAUGUACAUAUCGCCCGUCGCUUUCAUUUUAAAAUGAAAUAAGU